UACGUAGGGUGCGAGCGUUAAUCGGAAUUACUGGGCGUAAAGUGUGCGCAGGCGGCAGAGCAAGUCGAGUGUGAAAGCCCCGGGCUUAACUUGGGAAUUGCGCUCGAAACUACUUUGCUGGAGUGUGGCAGAGGAAGGUGGAAUUCCACGUGUAGCGGUGAAAUGCGUAGAGAUUGGGAAGAACACCGGUGGCGAAGGCGGCUCACUGGCCCGUAACUGACGCUCAUGCACGACAGCGUGGGGAUCAAACAGG
RNAcentral lists this ribosomal RNA (253 nucleotides) under uncultured bacterium. Its description in RNAcentral is "partial 16S ribosomal RNA". It matches the Rfam family "Bacterial small subunit ribosomal RNA", at positions 524 to 776 of the family's 1533-position model. The record is from RNAcentral.